Triticum aestivum (bread wheat) is the source of this 125-nucleotide non-coding RNA. The record is from Rfam. Lineage: Eukaryota; Viridiplantae; Streptophyta; Magnoliopsida; Poales; Poaceae.
GAUGUACUCCCUCCGUCCAGAAAUACUUGUCAUUGCAAUGAAUGUACCUAGAUGUAUUUUAAUUCCAAAUACAUCCAUUUUAAUCCAUUUAUGCGACAAGUAUUUCCGGACGGAGGGAGUAGUAU